GGGCCUGUAGCUUAGUCAGGUUGAGCGAUGGACUCUUAAUCCAUCGGCCAGGGGUUCAAAUCCCUUCAGGCCCG
RNAcentral lists this transfer RNA (74 nucleotides) under Methanomicrobiales archaeon. RNAcentral describes it as "tRNA-Lys". It matches the Rfam family "tRNA". From Rfam's summary of the family: Transfer RNA (tRNA) molecules are approximately 80 nucleotides in length. Their secondary structure includes four short double-helical elements and three loops (D, anti-codon, and T loops). RNAcentral also lists the same sequence under 1 other name. The record is from RNAcentral. Lineage: Archaea; Methanobacteriati; Methanobacteriota; Methanomicrobia; Methanomicrobiales.